UGUGGAAGGUGGACUUGAAGGUGGA
Molecule: non-coding RNA, 25 nt
Filed under: Cricetulus griseus (Chinese hamster)
Lineage: Eukaryota; Metazoa; Chordata; Mammalia; Rodentia; Cricetidae
Source: RNAcentral